AUUAAAAACUUCAGUUUUAAAAGCUUGCCAACUGUCGAUUCCUUUGUAAUGUUUGUGAAUGUAAUUCAUCUUAGAGAUUGCUUAGUUUAACUAUGAUACUGUCAUUUUGUUAUGUCACGCAUGACUUUUUUUCUGAUAGUAAUUGAUUUUUUUUACUUUUCAACCAAGCUGAAACAAAAGUGAACAACAAACAGAAAAUGGUUUUGUUGCAGCCACCCGGUGAAAAGGGAGUUCAAGUUGAGCUGCAGCUGCUGUAAGCAGUCUGUAGCGGUGAUGUCAUCCUGAAGUGUUCUCAGUGUGUCAGUCUAGGCUGCUGAAGCUAAUUAAAGUGUGCUGUUCAAGUCUUAUCAUAGACGUCAAGCACAGCACUGAUAACAAAUUAUAAACAAGACUCUAUGAGAAGCCAUGUCAUUUGAAGAACUACACAGUCCAUAAGGUCCCUGUUUGAAAACCCGUUGGCUGCUACCUGUGAAUCUCCCUUUUUACUUCCUUAAACGGGCCGUCUUAAUUGAAGGUAACUCCUUCGAUACUGAUCAUCCACUGGACCCGACUUCAUCCGUUGGUGAAAGCUGACAAGAGAAUGCUGUAAUUCAAGACUGAUAAAUUGUGUAGUUGUUAGAUAAAUUACAAGUGCAUAUUAUCUGGGCUCCCUUGUUCA
RNAcentral lists this long non-coding RNA (658 nucleotides) under Daphnia pulicaria. RNAcentral's name for it is "uncharacterized LOC124328275, transcript variant X3". Lineage: Eukaryota; Metazoa; Arthropoda; Branchiopoda; Diplostraca; Daphniidae. The record is from RNAcentral.